GAGAAGGCUGGGCUUCGGGGAGGCGUUGAGUCCUACGGCUAGAGUAAGAGCUGAGGCUGAAAUGAUCAGGACAAACUAGAAAGUGCGUGCCCACCCACCACCCCUUUCAGCCUCCUGGGUGCUGGGGAAGGGACAGCCCAGGGCAGGCUUUUCUCCACGGACUGCCCAUGUCUACAUGGCCCAGCUGCAGGUGGCAUGGUGGGAGAGCAAGAUGGCAUGGGAAGCCCAGUGCCGCCCCCCCCCCCACCCCGUCAAGCAGACCCACCCACCCAGGGGAGGCCUUCAACCUCAGCCAGCCUCUCCCUUCAUUGUGACGUCAGGACCCUUUGAAGACCCCACUUCCUCUGGCUACGCCAAAAGGGAAGACUGUCAGAUGGGAAAAGAAAACAAAAUUGUGAGCCAGACUUCCUUCCUCCUGGGGUGCCCCCAAGCUGAGGCUGAGUCCAGACCAGGGGUGAAUUGAGAUUAGGGUUGAAAUGGCGGCCACACGUCGCGUUCCACUUCUUCCUGUGGUUGAAACCAGUGGUGAACAUCGGCACAGAACCCGCAGGACUGAGACAAUGCAUAUGUUGAUACUGAGAUUUUAAGAGGUUCUUCUGGGGAGGCCCAGGGAAUUCUCCCUCUGUUUUCAGGCAGCCCCCAGCCUCUCCCACCCCCACACUAGCCUUCUGAAGAGGCUGCUGCCUACGCUCCCCAAAAUAUGGCAUUAAAGACGCACCCUUGCUGAGGGGAGCCCUGGCUG
Molecule: long non-coding RNA, 742 nt
Organism: Leopardus geoffroyi (Geoffroy's cat)
Lineage: Eukaryota; Metazoa; Chordata; Mammalia; Carnivora; Felidae
Exons: 2
Source: RefSeq, a predicted model, not a curated record